AUCUUUCUGGUGAUCACCUUGCUUUGUUUACAUCAUUGAAGAUCUCAAAGCCCCCGAAACAACGACAUACCGUGUCUUAUCGCAAAUUUAGUGACAUCAAAACAACUGACUUCAUACAAGAUUUGAGCAGCACUAAAAUAGUUCAAAAUCGUGAAGGGUCGGUUGAAAAUAUAGUAAACCUGUAUAACACUGAGCUUAGUUCAAUCAUCGAUAGCCAUGCACCAUUAAAAUCGAGGAACAUUAUAAUGCGUCCUAACACUGAGUGGUAUACAGACGAACUCCGCUUAGCUAAGAGAGACCGUCGAAAAGCAGAACGACGAAUGCGGAAAUCGAAUUUGACAGUUCAUCGUCAAAUAUUUCAAGAUACCUGUCUGAAAGCAAGCAAGCUUCUCCUUAAAUCCAAGAAGGACUAUUUUUCAACAAAAAUAUCCGAUAUAGAACAUGAUCAAAAGCAAUUGCAUCGUUUGACAAAUGACUUAAUGGGCAAUAGGCAAGAAUCAUACUACCUUCGCAUAAAGAUGAAAAAGUUCUGGCUGACAAAUUUUGUGAAUUUUUUGUUGGAAAAAUAAGUGCCAUUCGUGACAAUCUCACGGCUAAGAAUGAUGCAUCAAAUUACAACCGUGAUACAAUGAGAGCUGAUAUAAAAUUCGAAGGUGAACCAUUAAGAUCGUUAUCGCCAGUUUCAAAUGACGAACUUCGUAAAAUUAUCUUGGCUGCUCCAACAAAGUCUUGCGAACUUGAUCCGUUACCAACAAAACUUCUUAAGCCUUGUGUGGAUCAUUUGUUGCCGUCAAUCACAGAUAUAGUCAACAGAUCGCUAUCAGAACAAUGUGUACCACUGUCGUUCAAACAAGCUGUUGUGAGACCAUUACUUAAGAAACCAAAUCUAGAUAAAGAGGUCCUCAAAAACUACCGACCAGUCUCCAACUUACCUUUCAUUUCAAAGACACUGGAAAAGGUUAUCGACAUUCGACUGGAAAAUCACAUGAAUUCACAUUCUCUAUAUGAUAGUGUUCAGUCAGCCUACCGUACAUGUCAUUCCACGGAAACUGCUCUCUUACGUGUUCAUCACGAUAUUGCCUAUGCAUUAGAUAAUAACUGUUGUGCCGUUUUGCUCAUGCUCGAUCUUUCGGCCGCUUUUGAUACCAUCGACCAUCAGAUUCUUUUUGAUCGUUUGGAAUAUUCUUUUGGCGUUACCGGAGAUGCUUUGCUAUGGUUAAAAUCGUAUCUUAUAAACAGGACUCAACGUGUUGCUAUAGGAUCAGUACAAUCUGACGAUAUCAAACUUGAUUUUGGUGUACCGCAGGGCUCGGUCUUGGGGCCGAAACUAUAUUGUAUUUUUGCAAAACCAGUAGGCGAAAUUUGUAGGCGCCAUGGAAUGUCAUACCAUUCGUACGCAGACGACACUCAGGUUUAUCAAAUCAUAAGACCGAAAGGAGACUGGUGCGAUCUGUCCAAACGACUAGAAAAAUGUUUGUCUGAUAUUGGUGAUUGGAUGAGUGCCAACAUGUUGAAACUUAAUGAAGACAAGACAGAAUUAAUAAUUUUUGCACCAAAACAUCAAUUGAAGCAUCUUUCAGAUUUUCGUCUGACAUUUGAUGGAACAGUGUUAAGCGACGUUUCUUGUGUGAAAAAUCUGGGAAUGUACUUUGAUAAAACCAUCAGUAUGGAACAUCAAGCCAGUGCGAUCACUAAGGCUUGUUUUUACCAAAUUCGGAAUAUUGGUAGAAUUCGAGCUUUAAAUUCAGUUGAAGCCUGUAAAACACUAGUGUGCUCCCUAGUUACAUCAAGGCUGGACUAUGGCAAUGCAUUGUUGUACGGUACUAACACCAACAUUAUCAGUAAAUUGCAGCGGGUCCAAAACACAGCAGCACGUUUGAUAACACGAAAAAGAAAAUUUGACUCAAUUACGCCUGUUUUAAUAUCGUUACACUGGCUACCCAUACAUUACCGUUGCCAAUAUAAAC
Molecule: long non-coding RNA, 1967 nt
Filed under: Mytilus galloprovincialis (Mediterranean mussel)
Lineage: Eukaryota; Metazoa; Mollusca; Bivalvia; Mytilida; Mytilidae
Source: RNAcentral